CUCUUUGACGUCAGGACCAGAACAAAAGACAAGCAAGGGGUCAGAGCUGAGACCACAGACCAUACAGGUCGGUCCUCUGCUACCUGGAGAAGGGCGGACCCGCUCCUACGAACCCCACCCAGUCCAGCUCGGACCAAACCAAGCAGGAACAGGCACCAGAAAGCUGGGACAGCGCCUGUCCAAGCACCCAACGUGUCUUCCUGAGCGCUCCAGGCUGCGCCAUGCUCGCCCUCCAAAGCAGCCUGAGGAGGAUGCUGGCCCCGCGGGCUCUGGUGCAUCCGGUGUGCCCAUCAUUUGCUACUGACCACAGACAGCGAGAAGGAACAUUCUAUGAGUUUUGUACUUACUAUCUCAAACCCUCAAAUGUGGAAGAGUUCCUGUACAAUUUUAAGAAAAAUGUUCAUCUUCGGACAGCUCACUCUGAAUUGGUCGGAUAUUGGAGUGUAGGAUUUGGAGGCAGAAUAAACACAGUAUUCCAUAUUUGGAAGUAUGAUAGUUAUGCUCAGCGUGCUGCGGUUUACAAAGCCUUGGCCAAGGAUAAUGAUUGGCAAGAACGAUUCCUCAUUCCAAAUUUGCCUUUCAUCGAUAAACAAGAGAGCGAGAUUACCUAUUUGGUACCAUGGUGCAAAUUAGGGACGCCUCCCAAGGAAGGAGUCUAUGAACUGGCUACUUUUCUGAUGAAACCUGGUGGCCCAGCUCUAUGGGGUGACGCAUUUGAAAGGGCAGUAAAUGCCCAUGCUAAUCAAGGCUACGUUAAACUAAUUGGCGUGUUCCAUUCAGAGUAUGGAUUGCUCAACAGAGUUCAUGUUCUGUGGUGGGUCGAGGAUGCAGAUCGUCGGGCAGCUGGGAGGCAUCAAGCGCAUGAAGAUCCCAAAGUCGUGUCUGCUGUUCGGGAAAGUGUCAACUACCUAGAUACUCAACAGAAUAUGUUCCUGAUUCCUUGGUCAUUUUCACCACUGAAAUAGUUUCCUACUGACUGUUUUGCUAGCUAAGUGAGAUGUUUCAGUGGCCAGUGCUUCAAUUCUCUCUAGAGAAUUACUUCAACUUUUAUUUGAAGGAAGUGAAUACCAACUCUGUAAGACAACCCUUUGUUCAAAUGAGAUCGCAUUUCGAAGUGUGUGACCAUAUUUUUAAAUUAUUAAUAAAUAUAUGAUCCAUUUUAA
Molecule: RNA transcript, 1163 nt
Organism: Rattus norvegicus (Norway rat)
Lineage: Eukaryota; Metazoa; Chordata; Mammalia; Rodentia; Muridae
Gene: Nipsnap3a
Gene name: nipsnap homolog 3A (C. elegans)
Source: RefSeq, marked validated